GACGAACGCUGGCGGCGUGCUUAACACAUGCAAGUCGAACGGAAAGGCCCUGCUUUUGUGGGGUGCUCGAGUGGCGAACGGGUGAGUAACACGUGAGUAACCUGCCCUUGACUUUGGGAUAACUUCAGGAAACUGGGGCUAAUACCGGAUAGGAGCUCCUGCUGCAUGGUGGGGGUUGGAAAGUUUCGGCGGUUGGGGAUGGACUCGCGGCUUAUCAGCUUGUUGGUGGGGUAGUGGCUUACCAAGGCUUUGACGGGUAGCCGGCCUGAGAGGGUGACCGGCCACAUUGGUACUGCGAUACGCCCCAGACUCCUACGGGAGGCAGCAGUGGGGAAUAUUGCACAAUGGGCGGAAGCCUGAUGCAGCAACGCCGCGUGCGUGAUGACGGCCUUCGGGUUGUAAACCGCUUUCGCCUGUGACGAAGCGUGAGUGACGGUAAUGGGUAAAGAAGCACCGGCUAACUACGUG
This 468-nucleotide ribosomal RNA is filed under the name uncultured bacterium. RNAcentral describes it as "partial 16S ribosomal RNA". It matches the Rfam family "Bacterial small subunit ribosomal RNA", at positions 28 to 507 of the family's 1533-position model. The record is from RNAcentral.